Molecule: transfer RNA, 75 nt
Filed under: Myroides odoratus
Lineage: Bacteria; Pseudomonadati; Bacteroidota; Flavobacteriia; Flavobacteriales; Flavobacteriaceae
Also listed under: 9 other names
Description: tRNA-Thr(tgt)
Rfam family: tRNA
About the family: Transfer RNA (tRNA) molecules are approximately 80 nucleotides in length. Their secondary structure includes four short double-helical elements and three loops (D, anti-codon, and T loops). Further hydrogen bonds mediate the characteristic L-shaped molecular structure. tRNAs have two regions of fundamental functional importance: the anti-codon, which is responsible for specific mRNA codon recognition, and the 3' end, to which the tRNAs corresponding amino acid is attached (by aminoacyl-tRNA synthetases). tRNAs cope with the degeneracy of the genetic code in two manners: having more than one tRNA (with a specific anti-codon) for a particular amino acid; and 'wobble' base-pairing, i.e. permitting non-standard base-pairing at the 3rd anti-codon position.
Source: RNAcentral
GCCGGUGUAGCUCAGCUGGCUAGAGCAGCUGAUUUGUAAUCAGCAGGUCGUGGGUUCGAGUCCCUCCAUCGGCUC